UGCCAGCAGCCGCGGUAAUACGGAGGGUGCGAGCGUUAAUCGGAAUUACUGGGCGUAAAGCGUGCGCAGGCGGUUUUAUAAGUCAGAUGUGAAAUCCCCGAGCUCAACUUGGGAACUGCGUUUGAAACUGUAAGACUAGAGUGUGUCAGAGGGGGGUAGAAUUCCAUGUGUAGCAGUGAAAUGCGUAGAUAUAUGGAGGAAUACCAAUGGCGAAGGCAGCCCCCUGGGAUAACAAUGACGCUCAUGCACGAACGCUUGGUGAGCAAACAGGAUUAGAUA
This 279-nucleotide ribosomal RNA is filed under the name uncultured bacterium. RNAcentral's name for it is "partial 16S ribosomal RNA". It matches the Rfam family "Bacterial small subunit ribosomal RNA", at positions 506 to 784 of the family's 1533-position model. The record is from RNAcentral.